GCCAGGAUGACCCCCGGUGGUCUGGGGUGCAGGCUUCAAACCUGUAGCUGCCUAGUGGCAGAGUGGUUCGAUUCCACCUUCCAGGC
This 86-nucleotide transfer RNA is filed under the name Alosa alosa (allis shad). Its description in RNAcentral is "tRNA-Ser". It matches the Rfam family "Selenocysteine transfer RNA". Lineage: Eukaryota; Metazoa; Chordata; Actinopteri; Clupeiformes; Clupeidae. The record is from RNAcentral.